CACGUAGGGGACGAGCGUUGUCCGGAUUCAUUGGGCGUAAAGCGCGCGUAGGCGGCUCGGAAAGUCGGGCGUGAAAUGCCGGGGCUCAACCCCGGGACUGCGUCCGAUACUUCCGAGCUGGAGGUAGGUAGGGGAGAUCGGAAUUCCUGGUGUAGCGGUGAAAUGCGUAGAGAUGGGGGAGAACACUCGUGGCGAAGGCGGCCAGCUAGACCAGUUCUGACACUGAGGCGCGACAGCGUGGGGAGCAAACGGG
RNAcentral lists this ribosomal RNA (253 nucleotides) under uncultured bacterium. RNAcentral describes it as "partial 16S ribosomal RNA". It matches the Rfam family "Bacterial small subunit ribosomal RNA", at positions 524 to 776 of the family's 1533-position model. The record is from RNAcentral.